UACGGAGGGGGUUAGCGUUGUUCGGAAUGACUGGGCGUAAAGCGCGCGUAGGCGGACCUGCAAGUCGGGGGUGAAAUCCCGGGGCUCAACCCUGGAAUGGCCUUCGAGACUGCCGGUCUUGAGUUCGAGAGAGGCGGGUGGAAUUCCGAGUGUAGAGGUGAAAUUCGUAGAUAUUCGGAGGAACACCAGUGGCGAAGGCGGCCCACUGGCUCGACACUGACGCUGAGGUGCGAAAGCGUGGGGAGCAAACAGG
Molecule: ribosomal RNA, 253 nt
Filed under: uncultured bacterium
Lineage: Bacteria
Description: partial 16S ribosomal RNA
Rfam family: Bacterial small subunit ribosomal RNA
Source: RNAcentral